UACGAAGGGGGCUAGCGUUGUUCGGAAUUACUGGGCGUAAAGCGCACGUAGGCGGACAUUUAAGUCAGGGGUGAAAUCCCGGGGCUCAACCCCGGAACGGCCUUUGAUACUGGGUGUCUUGAGUUCGGAAGAGGUGAGUGGAAUUGCGAGUGUAGAGGUGAAAUUCGUAGAUAUUCGCAGGAACACCAGUGGCGAAGGCGGCUCACUGGUCCGAUACUGACGCUGAGGUGCGAAGGCUAGGGGAGCGAACGGG
Molecule: ribosomal RNA, 253 nt
Filed under: uncultured bacterium
Lineage: Bacteria
Description: partial 16S ribosomal RNA
Rfam family: Bacterial small subunit ribosomal RNA
Source: RNAcentral